Molecule: transfer RNA, 90 nt
Filed under: Staphylococcus pragensis
Lineage: Bacteria; Bacillati; Bacillota; Bacilli; Caryophanales; Staphylococcaceae
Also listed under: 4 other names
Description: Staphylococcus petrasii subsp. pragensis tRNA-Ser
Rfam family: tRNA
About the family: Transfer RNA (tRNA) molecules are approximately 80 nucleotides in length. Their secondary structure includes four short double-helical elements and three loops (D, anti-codon, and T loops).
Source: RNAcentral
GGGAAGUUGUCCGAGUCUGGCCGAAGGAGCACGCCUGGAAAGUGUGUAAACGCCACAAGCGUUUCAAGGGUUCGAAUCCCUUACUUCCCG